CCGGUGUCCCCCCCUUUCCCAGAGCAUCGUCUCAUGGAGACCGAGGAGCAGCUGGGACCAGGAGCCCCCAUGGUCAUGCGAUUGGUGGAGCAGGAGCAGGAGGGGGCACAGCAGCAGCUGGAGGCAGAGCUGGGCCGGCAACAGCUGAACCUGCAGCGUCGUGACAGGUUGGCAGAGGAGCUGCAGCAGCUGCAGCAGCCCCUGGAGGCUCUGCCAGAGUGAUGGGAGACAAGAUGGACACGACCUGCAGGACACCUGUGGCAUCUGCGUGGCACCUCYGUGAUGCACCUGUGUCACCAGCGUGUCACCUAUAGGGCAUCUGCAUCAUGGAGGACCUGUGUCCUCCCAUGUCCUCUGUAUCCCCAAUUCCCCAUUGCCCUCCCUCCCAUGUCUCCCAGUGCCCUCAAGCUCCCCCCAUUGUCCUCAUGUUCCCCAAUUUUCCCUCAUGUCCCCAUUUUCCCCAGUGUCCCCUAUAUCCGCCCAGAUCCCUGUGUGCUCCCCAAUGUCUCUAUUUUCCCCUGUUCCCCAAUGCCCCCCCAUCUCCCCACUGCCCCUCACUGCCCCUCAGGUCUCCCCAUGUCCCACAUCCACCCAGGUCCCCAUAUGCCCCCCUAUGCCCCCUGCAAUGUCCCCUCCAUGUCCCCUCCAUGCCCCUCCGAUGUCCCCCACGUUUCCCAAUAAACUC
Long non-coding RNA from Malurus melanocephalus (red-backed fairy wren), 685 nucleotides. RefSeq lists it as uncharacterized. Lineage: Eukaryota; Metazoa; Chordata; Aves; Passeriformes; Maluridae. The transcript is spliced from 3 exons. The record is from RefSeq and is a predicted model, not a curated record.